Molecule: ribosomal RNA, 118 nt
Filed under: Pteropus alecto (black flying fox)
Lineage: Eukaryota; Metazoa; Chordata; Mammalia; Chiroptera; Pteropodidae
Source: RNAcentral
GUCUACGGCCAUGCUACCCUGAACACACCCGAUCCCUCUGAUCUCUGAAGCUAAGCAGGGUGGGGCCUGGUUAGUACUUAGAUGGGAGACCACCUAGGAAGACUGGGUGCUGUAGGCG